Molecule: long non-coding RNA, 1420 nt
Organism: Maniola jurtina (meadow brown)
Lineage: Eukaryota; Metazoa; Arthropoda; Insecta; Lepidoptera; Nymphalidae
Exons: 2
Source: RefSeq, a predicted model, not a curated record
UUAAGAUUUUAUUUUAAAGUAGGCGUACCAUACAUUUUUCUUUUGUUAUUAGGUACUUAUUUAAUUUAAUUUAUACAUUACAAUAUAUCCGUAGCCUAUAAUUCCAACGAUUUACAGAAAUAAUACUUAUGUAAAUCUGUCAUAUUAACGAACGUAGGUACGUUAAAAUUGUCGCUCCUGUACACAUUGGCCAAAGGGAUUCGGCGAGUGUCGGCAAACGAGUAAACGCUGCUUGUUAAUUGGGUCAACAAUACCCUUUGAUGUUAAAGUAGAUAUAUGAAAACCUACAAAUUGAAGGUACUUUCAACAAUGAAAGAAAUUGUAGGCAUUAGGAUUUCCAUCAUAAAAAAAGAGACAAGCAUUACUUUCCUAUUUAAAACUUGGAGGAACUUUUGUAAAGCAUGUAUUUAAAAAAUCUCAUUGCAAUAAAACAAUCAUAGUUUUGUAUAAAUUGUUUAAAAAAUAAGCAAUAUCGAUUUUCUCUUUUAUUCUGAUCUGAAACCUCUGUGCUUACCUAUAACUUCCGAAGGGUUACAGGUAAGUUCGUCGUAAAUUUUACUUACAUACAAAAUAAGUAUGUUUUAUACUUAGUAUAAUUAUCACAUUGAUGGCCGAAUUUUGUCCAAAAAUGGGUAUUUGUCAUUCGGCAAGCUAAAUGUUCGCCAAACGAUCGCCGAAAGCAUUAUAGGCCAAUGUCUACUGGAUUCUUACAUAACAUGGUACAAAGUUGAAAUGAUUCACUUUUAUUAGAAUCUUUACUUGCAUUUUAUUAGAUUUUUUCAUAUUUCGUUGUUCGCAAACAGUUAGCCUAAGGUUGUAUUCCCACGGUGCAUGAUAGUACGAGCAACGUAACUCAAGUUAUUCGAAAUGGUAGACGCCUUUGCUGGCGGAGGAGUCUUUUCUCAGCGCGCCUCAUACAAACGAAGUUUGAUUCUUAUUUGAAUACGAAAUUUUUCAGACAGGCUCUACAAACUUCGUCCCAAAUUCGCAAUAAAUAAAAUUGAAUUGAAUUGAAUUCGUCAUCAUUAUGAUCAACACAUCGCUGGCUCAAUACUGAGCACGGGUCUCUUCUCAAAAUGUUUGUGGGUUUGGCCAUAGUGCAAAAUGCUGGCCAAGUACGGAUUGGCAGACAGAUUAGCACUAUAGUCAGCCAAUCAGAUUCAAGAUAAUCAUAAAUUACAUCAAAGCUUGGACCUAAUAAUCGAAAUGAAACUUUAUUUUUAUCAAGCAUCGUGGGAAACCACCAUAAAGAUUCACCGUAAUUUUUUUGCCUUUACGGCUCUGGGUUAUAUAUCUGGGUAUAAGCCUCACGAAAGAAGUAAAAAAAGAACUCAGAAUAACAUUUCAAAGUCACUUAAAUUUAAAAAAGGAACUUCGCCUUGAUUCGCAGCACGUUACUAAUAAAUCACAACCACAUUUC